RNAcentral lists this long non-coding RNA (3550 nucleotides) under Mus musculus (house mouse). RNAcentral describes it as "long non-coding RNA chr18:77163892-77167442". The record is from RNAcentral. Lineage: Eukaryota; Metazoa; Chordata; Mammalia; Rodentia; Muridae.
CACUAUUGUGUAUGGUGGUCAAGGAAUCCAUAAAAGCACCAGGUCCCCUGGCACUGGAGUUCCAGCUGGUUGUAACUAUCAUGUGGUUGUUAGGAACUGAUUGUAGGUCCUCUACAAGAGACGUAAGUGCUUUUAACCCCUGGGUCACUGCCAACUCUCCUCCCUCUUUACACAGACUCUCAUGUAGCUCAAACCAACGUUGGACUCACUAAGUAGCUCACGCUGACGUUGCGCUCCUAAUCAUCCUACUUCUCUGCCUACACCAAGUGUUGAGAUUUCAGGUUUGUGCCACCAUGCUUGGCUGAAUGCUGCACACCUUCUCAGCAAAAUGCCCCUUCUUUUGUGUAUGUUUAUGUGUGGGUGGGUGCAUGUGAUAGCCAAACAUCUAUGUCAGGUUCUCAAUAUCUUUCCACCCUAUUCUUCAGACAGAGUUGGUUAUUGCACCUAAAGCUUACGGAUUCAGCUAGAUGGACCAGCAAGCCCCAAGGGUCUUCCCAUCUCUACCUCCCCCACUCUGGCAUUAUAGAUACAUGCCACCACACCACACGCUUUAUGUGGGGGAUGGAGAUCCAAACUUGGGUCUUCAUGCUUGUGUGGCAGGUAGGCAUGUUAGUAACAGCUGUCUCCCCAGCCUGACACUCAUUUUAAUUAUUUUGAAGUAUUUGCUAGGAUUGAUCGUAGCGUACUACUAGUAAAAACAAAACCCAUGAUCUCUUACAGUGGGAUCAAGCUAGGAAAAAGAACUGCAAAGUCCCUAGCUAUUUAGAAUUAAUUCCAUGGGUUGAAAAUGAAAUAAUAUGAGGACCAGAGAGAUAGCUUAGCAGUCACAAGCAUUUGCUGCCCUAACAGGGCUCAGGUUUGAUUCCCUGUACCACAUACAGGCUCACAAGUAUCUGUAACUCUAGUUUUAGGGCACCACCUUCUGGCUUUUGGACACCAAGCAUACACAUGGUACAAAAUAUAUGCAAACAAAAUAGUCAUGUAAAAUUAAAAAUUCUUUUAGUAAAUUCUAACAGCAAAUGAAAUCAUACAGGAAGUUAGAAACUAUCUUGAAUGAUACUGAAGAUACGUUAAUACUUGUAGUAUACAACUUAAAGUAGUGCCUUCAUUUUUAUCCUUGACGUAAGAUCCCGCUAUCCUGCUGCCUGUCCCCUUCCAGUGCUAGGAUUACAGAUGCUUGCCACCAUAGCCAGCUAAAUUCAUGUUUUUUUAAAAAAUAAAUACAUUAACUGGGCAUAGUGUCUUAAACAUUUAAUCCCCGGUAUUCAAGAGAGUUCAAGAACAGCUGGGCUACAGAACAAUCCAGUUUCUAAAAGAAAAAGGACAAACUAGCAAAAAUGAAAUGAAGUAUAGAGUUGAGACAUUACAAGAAAAAAAUAAAAGGCUGAACAUAAAUAUAAAACAAACUUAGUUUAUUAAAAAUCUACAGUAUGGAAAAAUUACAGUAGAGUAAGUCAGUGAGCAGUUAGGUGUUCUUAAAAGUGAAACAGAAAAGACGUCCUUCCAAAAUCCAGCAUCGGCUUGUACUUUCUUGGAGACCUGAGAAUCACCUUGGUCCUUUUAUGGGGCCACCUAGAAAAAGAACCAAAAGCUACAGAAGAGAGCUUUCAAUAGCUAGACUUUUUAGGCAAAGGUUACGCUUGCAAAAGGGACAUAAUGGACAUGCAGGCAAAAACCAAGCUGGUACCUCUAGUCUUCUGGGGUUUCAUAGAGUUGGGUAUGAAAACUACUUCUGCCCAUUUGGUAGCUGGAAUAAGAAUGGCCCACAAAGGCUCAUAUUUAAAUGCUUAGGGCAGCAUUAGGAGGUGAAGUCUUAAUGGACAAAGUGUCAUGUGUGUCUCCCUGCUGCCUGUGGAUCUGGUUGUAGAACUCUCUCCAGUACCAUCUCUGCCUGCAAGCCUCACCAUGAUGAUUAUAGACUAAAUCUCUGAACUGUAAGCAAGCCCCAGUGAAGUGUUUCUUUGUAAGAGUUGCUAUGGUCAUGAUGUCUCUACAAAGCCAUGGAAACCCUAGCUAUGACAGCCCAGGAUGUUGUGAGCCUUGGCUUCGCGAACUGGGCCCCUGUGAAUUAAAAAGGAUGGUUACAUUCAAAAUUACUGAUUUUAAAAUGGCGAUUAAAGGCUUCAGACUCCUGUUAGGUGUUUGAGAUUUUAGGUUCUUUCGCAAUUUUUAGUUUUGCCUCGUUAGACUCCCUACUCUUUCUUGAGUUAAUCUUGGUAAUUGUUAUUCAUGGGUAAUUAAUUUACCAAAAACCAAACAAAUAAAACUCAGAACUAUUAAAACAUUCAGGUAAGUUUAACAGUUUGAACAAAGUUUAAAAAUCUCAAGUUGGAAAGCCUUCAUAUCCAGAGAGGUCCAAGCAGUUCAACUGUUUUAUAAACAAUCUUUGUUCAUUUAAAAUAAAUUUGUGGGGCUGGUGAGAUGACUCAGUGGGUAAGAGCACCUGACUGCUCUUCCGAAGGUCCGGAGUUCAAAUCCCAGAAACCACAUGGUGGCUCACAACCAUCUGUAACAAGAUCUGACUCCCUCUUCUGGAGUGUCUGAAGACAGCUACAGUGUACUUACAUAUAAUAAAUAAAUAAAUCUUAAAAAAAAAGAAAAAAAAGAAACUACAAAAAAAAUAAAAAUAAAUUUGUGUACAUAUUGAUCUGUUUGUGUGUGUUCUCUUGUGUUUCACUAGAAAUAAUAUAGUUCACGUUCUACUACCAUACUAAUACAGUUUUCAAGUAAGGUAGAAAAAAUUAAAGCAACAUGCAUGCAAAGGAAAAGAACCCUUAUACUGGAGUCUCGCAGAGAAUCUGUAGUUUUAACACAGCUGAUGAAAUUAUAGUUGCCUACAGAUAGCGUGUAUAGGCACCUUCAGUGGGGAUGCUAAAGCAGCUUACUUAAGGCUGUGGCAAUUGUGGCCAUGCCACUUCUCAGCUCACAUCCAUAAUUCUAGACAGUGCACCUCAGAAAUAAAACCUAAAAUUUACUUACACAAGGAAAUUCUCUAUAAAAUAGGAAAAUGAAGUUACUAACCAAUGGUACUUUCCCCUUAAUUUUAAAACUUUACUUAAGGGCUGGUGAGAUGGCUCAGUGGGUUAGAGCACCCGACUGCUCUUCCGAAGGUCCAGAGUUCAAAUCCCAGCAACCACAUGGUGGCUCACAACCAUCCGUAACAAGAUCUGACUCCCUCUUCUGGAGUGUCUGAAGACAGCUACAGUGUACUUACAUAUAAUAAAUAAAUAAAAAAAAAAAAAAAAAACUUUACUUAAAAUUUAAACUUUGUUGAAUCUUUAAACCUUGUAAAUUGAGUUUUUGGGGAAGGUAGCUUGGCCAGAAUCGUGUGUGUCCACUGGAAACACCCAGUGGCUGUGUUCUCUAAUGCGCUUGAAUUUAAGCCAUGUAUUAGCUUUUAGUCUCCAUAGACAGUAAUUACUGAUUUUGUUUCAUCCUGAAAUCCUUUUUUCUUCUGUAUAGUUGAGGAUCUGUCAAUAGCUGGGUGGAGGUCCCCGAAAAGGGAGACUGGGUUGGGUUGUGACUUUCCACUGCUGCUGAUACUUCUACA